GUCUGUGGCCACGCCAACCUGAACAAGCCCGAUGUCUGACCUCAGAAGCUAAGCAAGGUCGGACCUUGUUAGUACUCGGAUGGGAGACCCCAGGGAAACCAAGUGCUGUAGGCA
RNAcentral lists this ribosomal RNA (114 nucleotides) under Pteropus alecto (black flying fox). Lineage: Eukaryota; Metazoa; Chordata; Mammalia; Chiroptera; Pteropodidae. The record is from RNAcentral.